GUGUGCUAAUACCGCAUAAUCUCUCAGGAGAAAAGCAGGGGAUCGCAAGACCUUGCGCUUUAGGAGCGGCCGAUGCCUGAUUAGCUUGUUGGUAAGGUAAAAGCUUACCAAGGCUUCGAUCAGUAGCUGGUCUGAGAGGACGACCAGCCACACUGGGACUGAGACACGGCCCAGACUCCUACGGGAGGCAGCAGUGGGGAAUUUUGGACAAUGGGGGAAACCCUGAUCCAGCCAUGCCGCGUGAGUGAAGAAGGCCUUCGGGUUGUAAAGCUCUUUCAGCCGGAACGAAACGGUUACGAUUAAUACUCGUAAUUAAUGACGGUACCGGCAGAAGAAGCACCGGCUAACUACGUGCCAGCAGCCGCGGUAAUACGUAGGGUGCGAGCGUUAAUCGGAAUUACUGGGCGUAAAGGGUCCGCAGGUUGUUUUGUAAGUCAGAUGUGAAAGCCCCGGGCUUAACCUGGGAACUGCGUCUGAAACUACAAGGCUAGAGUAUGGCAGAGGGGGGUGGAAUUCCGCGUGUAGCAGUGAAAUGCGUAGAUAUGUGGAGGAACACCGAUGGCGAAGGCAGCCCCCUGGGUCAAUACUGACACUGAGGGACGAAAGCAUGGGGAGCAAACAGGAUUAGAUACCCUGGUAGUCCAUGCCCUAAACGAUGUCAACUAGUUGUCGGGCCUUUACGGGCUUGGUAACGUAGCUAACGCGUGAAGUUGACCGCCUGGGGAGUACGGUCGCAAGAUUAAAACUCAAAUGAAUUGACGGGGACCCGCACAAGCGGUGGAUUAUGUGGAUUAAUUCGAUGCAACGCGAAAAACCUUACCUACCCUUGACAUGUAUCGAAGCCCGCAGAAAAGCGGGGGUGCCCGAAAGGGAACGAUAACACAGGUGCUGCAUGGCUGUCGUCAGCUCGUGUCGUGAGAUGUUGGGUUAAGUCCCGCAACGAGCGCAACCCUUGUCAUUAAUUGCCAUCAUUUAGUUGGGCACUUUAAUGAGACUGCCGGUGACAAACCGGAGGAAGGCGGGGAUGACGUCAAGUCCUCAUGGCCCUUA
Molecule: ribosomal RNA, 1050 nt
Filed under: uncultured Nitrosospira sp.
Lineage: Bacteria; Pseudomonadati; Pseudomonadota; Betaproteobacteria; Nitrosomonadales; Nitrosomonadaceae
Description: bacterial SSU rRNA
Rfam family: Bacterial small subunit ribosomal RNA
Source: RNAcentral